AGUAAUUCAGAAGAAAAUGGUGAGAAUCCACUUAUACCAAAAUGUUGACCAGCAACAGUAAACUAAACUACCAAAACAAAAGAUCAAAACCCAUUUCAAACAGUUCAUUUUUCUCAAGAUCUGGAAAUAAACCAAGGCACAGUAAAAUGUAUGGACUCACCUGCAAAGGGAGUUACAGAACAAAUUUGGUGGAUCAAUUGCUAAGUUCUUCUUGAAGAAUACUAGGGAAACGGGGUUAAAGCUAGUGCCACAAGUACUACAAGUAUUAGGAAGCGAAAAAUAUCUGGUGGAGUGAAUCUUGGUAGCACCAAAUGCAAUUGGAG
RNAcentral lists this long non-coding RNA (323 nucleotides) under Nicotiana tabacum (common tobacco). RNAcentral's name for it is "long non-coding RNA (NTAB_LNC010673)". Lineage: Eukaryota; Viridiplantae; Streptophyta; Magnoliopsida; Solanales; Solanaceae. The record is from RNAcentral.